UACGAAGGGGGCUAGCGUUGUUCGGAAUCACUGGGCGUAAAGGGCGCGUAGGCGGCUUUAUAAGUCGGGGGUGAAAGCCUGUGGCUCAACCACAGAAUUGCCUUCGAUACUGUAGAGCUUGAGACCGGAAGAGGUAAGUGGAACUGCGAGUGUAGAGGUGAAAUUCGUAGAUAUUCGCAAGAACACCAGUGGCGAAGGCGGCUUACUGGUCCGGUUCUGACGCUGAGGAGCGAAAGCGUGGGGAGCAAACAGG
This 253-nucleotide ribosomal RNA is filed under the name uncultured bacterium. Its description in RNAcentral is "partial 16S ribosomal RNA". It matches the Rfam family "Bacterial small subunit ribosomal RNA", at positions 524 to 776 of the family's 1533-position model. The record is from RNAcentral.